RNAcentral lists this ribosomal RNA (330 nucleotides) under uncultured bacterium. RNAcentral's name for it is "bacterial SSU rRNA". It matches the Rfam family "Bacterial small subunit ribosomal RNA", at positions 568 to 898 of the family's 1533-position model. The record is from RNAcentral.
UGUGUAGGCGGUUGCUUAAGUUUGGUGUGAAAUCUCCCGGCUCAACUGGGAGGGUGCGCCGGAUACUGAGUGACUAGAGUGCGGGAGAGGAAAGUGGAAUUCCUGGUGUAGCGGUGAAAUGCGUAGAUAUCAGGAGGAACACCGGUGGUGUAGACGGCUUUCUGGACCGUAACUGACGCUGAGACACGAAAGCGUGGGUAGCAAACAGGAUUAGAUACCCUGGUAGUCCACGCCCUAAACGAUGCACAUUUGGUGUGGGUCAUUCAGUUGAUCCGUGCCGGAGCUAACGCGUUAAAUGUGCCGCCUGGGGAGUACAGUCGCAAGGCUGAA